Molecule: long non-coding RNA, 923 nt
Organism: Alligator mississippiensis (American alligator)
Lineage: Eukaryota; Metazoa; Chordata; Crocodylia; Alligatoridae
Exons: 3
Source: RefSeq, a predicted model, not a curated record
UCAAGGUUCAGUGGCUCCUCUCUCAGUAGGAAAGGAAACAGUGUUUGCGAUGGCUCUUGUAUGACAGAGCAGCAUCUGGCACAGUCUGGAAUCAUGCUGUUCAGUUGGUGCUUAUCUGGACCUUUCAGUUCAGGCUUUUCCAGACGUUAACCAAUGAAACUAUCCAACACGCCUGGGAGACAAGUCAGUCUCAUUCUCAUUGUACAGCUCUUGGAAUGAAAGAUGGAUUCCCUGCACUUUCUACCUUCUAACCCAAAUAUUUAAGGGCAAAUUGUCACUCUGACUGCAUAAAAGCAGUGCCCAUUAAAGUCAAAAGGAGCAACAUCUGUACAUCUGAGGGCAGUAUUUGGCCCUACAAACAUUAGGCCUGGAUGUGAAUUCCACAGCUUAGGCCUCUCCAUCCUUUGACUGUGUACACGGUUCUCCAUCCUUUGCUGCUGGCUCCAUUUGGGACCAUUCCUUUCCUGCUACAGAGGCAGAAGUAGGAGCUUGGGGCAGCAGUGAAAACGCUGUUGAGGACAAGAUUAGGAAGAUCAAAAGAAGCUGGAGAUCCCAAGAGCAGGGCUGCCUGUACCAGGAGAGCUCUAUCUAGCAGAAGACAAAAACAGACUAUCUUGCGAAAGGCACAGGAACUAGUUCUAACUAGUGUAAGAGGGCAGGAUGCGGAGCAGCUGUAAACAACUUUCACCUCCCAGUGACCCUGCACAUCAGUUUAGCCCCCUGUACAAAAUCUCCCCAGAAUGUAUUAACCUUUUAUUUACUACUUUAAUACAGAACAAUGAAAAACAUAUGUCUAAAACCACAAGUCAAAGUGUUUACAAAUCUGCUGAGUCUUGCAAUAUGGGAUAUAUUCCUUAAAGUCUUAAGAGUCCUGUGAUGACAUAAACAUCUUGACUUCCAUUAAAAAGAAAAUUUUGAGUCUG